RNAcentral lists this ribosomal RNA (449 nucleotides) under uncultured bacterium. Its description in RNAcentral is "bacterial SSU rRNA". It matches the Rfam family "Bacterial small subunit ribosomal RNA", at positions 354 to 796 of the family's 1533-position model. The record is from RNAcentral.
GUUUCGAAUCAUUCACAAUGGGCGAAAGCCUGAUGGUGCGACGCCGCGUGAGGGAUGAAGGCCUUCGGGUUGUAAACCUCUGUCACCGGGGAAGAAACGCUUCAAGUUAAUAGCUUGAAGCCUGACUUAACCCGGAGAGGAAGCAGUGGCUAACUCUGUGCCAGCAGCCGCGGUAAUACAGAGACUGCAAGCGUUAUUCGGAUUCACUGGGCGUAAAGGGUGCGCAGGCGGCCAAGUGUGUGAGGUGUGAAAGCCCGGGGCUUAACCCCGGAAUUGCACCUCAAACUACAUGGCUAGAGCAUUGGAGAGGGUAGCAGAAUUCACGGUGUAGCAGUGAAAUGCGUAGAUAUCGUGAGGAAUACCAGAGGCGAAGGCGGCUACCUGGACAAUUGCUGACGCUCAGGCACGAAAGCGUGGGGAGCAAAAGGGAUUAGAAACCCCAGUAGUCC